UAUAGUUUUUAAGAAAUAAAAUAAAAAAAAUCAUGUAAUACUACAUCAGUGUUAUGUUAUUGUAUGACUUCAUCUUUUAUACAGUCGGGUUCGGGGUUUCGGGCAGCCAUGGCGAAUUUCGGCAAGAUUUUACCCCAGUGAAAAAGGCUUGUAAUCCACAGUGAUCAACUAAGAUGUUGUUUCACUGGAUUAUUUAAUUGGGCAUAUAAUUGGAUAAUUCUGGAUCAACUGAGAUGUUAUUUCACUGGAUUAUUUAAUGGAUAGACUUAUUGGGCAUAUAUUUGGAUAUCUCUGUCCUCAACCUGGAAGAUAUGUAUUGUUCCUAACCAUCUAUAAUCCAUUCUCUAUGAAGUUCAGACUGUCUGCUCUUCCUUUGGAAAUACACAGUUAGUCAACCAACAUAGAAACACACAAACUUGAAGGAUUCUCUAGUGAGGGCUUAUGGAAAUGAUCUAUGUCUACUCUCAGAAUGGUGAAAGACUAUCAGAUUAUGCAAAGACUAACAGAAUAUCCUCUCUUGGAACACUGAAACAAGAAAAUCAAACAGGAGAUGGAUGGAGGAUUUAAGAAGCACAUAGAUAAAUAUGAUUUCCAACGAAUUUAACCAGUAUUAUCAUAGACUGUGGUUUACAGGAUGACAAAGUAACAGGAUUGUAUCUUUUUACUGUCAGACACUGACUAUGGAUAAGAUGUACCCAUUUAUUAAACUGAGAUCUAGUCAAAUCAAGUACAAUUGUAUUGAAAAUAUGAUUUUCUGAUAGCAUGAACUCUUUAAAAAUUAAUUCUCACAGACCUCAAAGUAUCUGAAUGUGACUUUUAUUUUUACCAAUUUCUAUUGAAGACUGUUGUUAUGUAUGAGAAGUAUACAUUUAAACCUUUUAUUUUUCAUCUUAUUUCUAUAACCCCCUAGAAAUUACACAGAUAUUCAGAUGCUGGAUUUAAUAUUAUUAUUUAACUUUCCUGGAAUGGUAAAUAUAUUUUGUUUGUGUAUGUAUCAUUUUUUAAUUUUGAAUUUAAAAUUGGUCUCAAUAAGACCCCCAAUAAAGAUGCAAGUGUCCCAUAAUCUGUGGUUUAAUAAUAUCUUGAAUAUCUUUAUCAUAUCAUAUUCAUCAUACUAAUUACAUAUUGAAUGUUUGUAGGAAUACACUUUGUUGUUUAGGACACUUUGUCAAGGUCAAAGCAUAAGAUUAUUGAGAUGACUUCUUUGACAAUAAUUUGUAACUUACAAACUUCACAUCAUAAGUACACAGAUGAAGAAUCAAAAAGAUAUUUCUAUAGAUUUUUUGGAUCAUUUACUCCUGGGUAAAAGUUAGUUACUAACUGAGAUUACUGAUUUGAAUCCUGUAAUGCAAUAACUUAAACAUUGUGUGAUAACUUAUAGACUUUAUAAAAAUUAGGUGCAAAUUCUUAGGAAAGGAUUGAAAUGUAAAUCAUAUGCACUAUGUUCAAGGAUGUUUAAAGACUAUUACUAUGUAAUACCUUAGAAUUCUGUAAAAAAUUUAUUAUCACUGCGUAGAUAAAGACUGGUUGGAAUAAUUUAUGUUUUGAAAUAAGGUUUAGGGAAAAAAGUCAAGAAUGUGGAUAUGACUUUUAUUCAAAUGGUGCAGUUCAGCAACUCUGGUGAUUUACAUACCUUCAGUCAUAAAUACAUGUAGAUAGGUAUUGGGAAGACUCCUCUAGAUUUUGAAAUUUUUAAAUCAAAAGUAUAGAAUUUAAGUUUGAAAGAUUAAAUGGCAGCAUAUCAUUUGCUUGUGAAUUAAAAAAUAAAUCCAAACAUAUACAUCUUUGGAUGAUAAUUGUAGAAUUUUAUCAAUUCCUGGAGUUCAGUCUUGAUAUCAUCCUUUAAUGUCCUUAAAAUUUUAAUGACUGUCUUUUAGUUUUAGUUGAAUUAGUUUCUUUUCUAAAUGUGAAAAUGACAUCAUCCAAAGAAGUUCUUCAUCUGCAUGUUAUAUGAAGAAGACAAUUUUCAUCACAGUGACAGAGAUUGUUUUGUUAAACAUAUUGCAUUGAUGCACAAAUAUACUUUUAGAUUUUUAAUAGCUAGAGUUCAUAUUUCUUAAUAUGGAAUGCUAAGUACUGUUGAUUUCAAUUUUUUGUGAACAAAGACAUACUAGUAGAAAAAAAAAUGUACAUGAUGUGUUAGAAAAGCAUGUGUAAACCUGAUGACUUUAUAAUUGCUGAUUAAAUCAAUUAUGAGUUUCAUCUUUGUUACAUUGUAAACAUUUCUAAGUAGUGCACACAUCAGAAAACACUUAA
Molecule: long non-coding RNA, 2256 nt
Organism: Saccostrea cuccullata (small rock oyster)
Lineage: Eukaryota; Metazoa; Mollusca; Bivalvia; Ostreida; Ostreidae
Exons: 5
Source: RefSeq, a predicted model, not a curated record